AGCAAAGUGUGGAGAGCUGCUCCCAUUUACAUGGUCCGCCACAUACCUGCCUUUCCCCGCCGGAUGGGUUAGUGCUAGUGAUGAGAUGGCUCAUGACAAGCUCAGAGUCCAAGGUAAAACAGUAUAGGUCUACACAGCAGCACAGAAACUUGAGCCAUUAUCGGAUCUCCACCCAUUGAUGAAUUUAACCCAGGGAACCCAAAGGCAUAUUGCAGGAUGUGAAGAUUAUAGACGAGAUUUGAAGGUACUGUUCUGCUGAGUUUUAUUUUCUUUAUCCAAAUACAUAGGCCAUUCAGUUGUCUUCCCUAAUUUA
Suricata suricatta (meerkat) is the source of this 313-nucleotide long non-coding RNA. RefSeq lists it as uncharacterized. The transcript has 2 exons. The record is from RefSeq and is a predicted model, not a curated record. Lineage: Eukaryota; Metazoa; Chordata; Mammalia; Carnivora; Herpestidae.